GUCGAAUUUCAAAUUUGAUUUGAAACAUCAAACAUGCAGAAUCUAGAGAUUUUAUCUAAAAUUUAGCAGAAAUUUAUACGUAAAUACGCUGCUUUCAAGUUACUAUUGAAGAGAUCAAAGAAUGAUUUAAUAUCAAAUAUGCAGUUAGUUUUAUUAACUGAUUUACUAUUUAUUUAAAACGAAUGUCAAUGUCUGACUGGUGCAAUGACGAUAGUUGUAUUCAGGAUGUGGUUUUAUCAGAUGUUCACCUUUACACGACAUUUGCACCCAUUGAGGAAGGAUUGGAAGGAAACUAUGGUAUGAGGUGGCUAAUGCAGGAGAG
Molecule: non-coding RNA, 322 nt
Organism: Paramuricea clavata
Lineage: Eukaryota; Metazoa; Cnidaria; Anthozoa; Malacalcyonacea; Plexauridae
Source: the annotation of a GenBank genome assembly